This 249-nucleotide long non-coding RNA is filed under the name Brassica napus (rape). Its description in RNAcentral is "long non-coding RNA (BNAP_LNC026471)". Lineage: Eukaryota; Viridiplantae; Streptophyta; Magnoliopsida; Brassicales; Brassicaceae. The record is from RNAcentral.
AAAUCCAUGCUUAUUGGAUAUGGUAUUUGUAAAAUUCCUAUCAAAACUCUCCUUAUUGGAAAAUAUGGAUUUCAUCAAUAAUUUAUAUCUAAGAUUAUUGUGAGUUAUUGGAAAAAUAAAUUUACACUUAAAUUCAAUAGAAAAGAAUACCACAGAAAAACAUAAAAAACAAUGAUCCCAUUUCGUAUCUCCUAUACCUCCCUAACGACACGUCUUUACCAACGCUACUUCCCUCUUACCACCUCCUCA